GAGUUCUCAAACCAUGCUGAUUUUAUUGGCGUGGCUUUGGAUGUGGGGGUUUCUGUUUGCGGGCUUUUGAAGUCGGCUCCCCUGAAAUGCAUUAGUGGUAUCUGAGCAGAGACUACUUACAGGUGUGAUAAAUUAUCUAUCUAUGCCUCGGUAUGCUGCAUGAAACAGAUUGCACUGCUUAUAACGAGUGGAAAUUUGACAA
RNAcentral lists this unclassified non-coding RNA (202 nucleotides) under uncultured Inocybe. RNAcentral describes it as "sequence contains ITS2". Lineage: Eukaryota; Fungi; Basidiomycota; Agaricomycetes; Agaricales; Cortinariaceae. The record is from RNAcentral.